ACGAACGCGGGCGGCGUGCCUAAUACAUGCAAGUCGAGCGCGGGAAGCGAGCGGAUCCCUUCGGGGUGAAGCUCGUGGAACGAGCGGCGGACGGGUGAGUAACACGUGGGCAACCUGCCUGUAAGACCGGAAUAACCCCGGGAAACCGGGGCUAAUGCCGGGUAAUACUUUUCUUCGCAUGAAGGAAAGUUGAAAGAUGGCUUCUYGCUAUCACUUACAGAUGGGCCCGCGGCGCAUUAGCUAGUUGGUGAGGUAACGGCUCACCAAGGCGACGAUGCGUAGCCGACCUGAGAGGGUGAUCGGCCACACUGGGACUGAGACACGGCCCAGACUCCUACGGGAGGCAGCAGUAGGGAAUCUUCCGCAAUGGACGAAAGUCUGACGGAGCAACGCCGCGUGAACGAUGAAGGUCUUCGGAUCGUAAAGUUCUGUUGUUAGGGAAGAACAAGUACCGUGCGAAUAGAGCGGUACCUUGACGGUACCUAACGAGGAAGCCCC
RNAcentral lists this ribosomal RNA (498 nucleotides) under Halobacillus sp. Mor2. Its description in RNAcentral is "bacterial SSU rRNA". It matches the Rfam family "Bacterial small subunit ribosomal RNA", at positions 29 to 494 of the family's 1533-position model. The record is from RNAcentral. Lineage: Bacteria; Bacillati; Bacillota; Bacilli; Caryophanales; Bacillaceae.